Long non-coding RNA from Cyprinodon tularosa, 327 nucleotides. RefSeq lists it as uncharacterized. The record is from RefSeq and is a predicted model, not a curated record. Lineage: Eukaryota; Metazoa; Chordata; Actinopteri; Cyprinodontiformes; Cyprinodontidae. The transcript has 3 exons.
GGGAAAAGUCAUUUGUAUGUGUCUGUGUGCAUUCGAACACUAGUGUGUAGGUGUGAAGUCCCUAAAUGUGUCUCUAUAUGUAAACAGUAUCAGUGUGCAUUUCACUCCUGAGUGCAGGUAUGUUUGUAGGAGAGAUUUGGAGAAGGCACGCCGCCAUUGAUCCAGGCAGCCAAGGGUCGCCACUGCAGGUCAGAGCAACUUGCACGCACACAUGGCAGAGCUGAAUGCCCUUCCUGACACCACCAUGAUUUGAACCCUAAUCCCCCGUUUCAAAGGCGCUGACUUUAAUUGCUAUUCCACAAAGAAAAAUCUGUCAAAUCUAUGACU